Molecule: ribosomal RNA, 1112 nt
Filed under: Pseudocrossocheilus papillolabrus
Lineage: Eukaryota; Metazoa; Chordata; Actinopteri; Cypriniformes; Cyprinidae
Description: partial 16S ribosomal RNA
Rfam family: Bacterial large subunit ribosomal RNA
Source: RNAcentral
CAGCUAGCUUACACACCAAUAUAACCAAAUAAUAUAAAUAAAAUAGAAUAGGCCAAACAUCAAAACUUAAACCAUUCUUUUACCUAAGUAUGGGAGACAGAAAAGGUUCAACCAAAGCGAUAGAAAAAGUACCGCAAGGGAAAGCUGAAAGAGAAAUGAAACAAUCCAUACAAGUACCAAAAAGCAAAGACUAAACCUUGUACCUUUUGCAUCAUGAUUUAGCCAGUAAACACAAGCAAAGAGACCUUUAGUUUGAAACCCCGAAACCAGGUGAGCUACCCCGAGACAGCCUAUUAAGGGCCAACCCGUCUCUGUGGCAAAAGAGUGGGAUGAGCUCCGGGUAGAAGUGACAGACCUACCGAACCUGGUGAUAGCUGGUUGCCUAAGAAAUGGAUAGAAGUUCAGCCUCGUACACCUCAAAUCAAACAAGCACUAAUAAGAUGUCUAGAGAAAAACACGAGAGUUAGUUGAAGGGGGUACAGCCCCUUUAACCAAGGAUACAACCUUAUUAAGAAGGAUAAAGAUCAUAAUAUAUAAAAUAUACUGUUCUAGUGGGCCUAAAGGCAGCCACCUAAACAGAAAGCGUUAAAGCUCAGACAGAAAAAAGUUUAUUAUUCUGAUAAAAAAUCUUAUUCCCCUAAAUACUAUUAGGCUAAUCCAUGCCCCCAUGGAAGAAAUUAUGCUAAAAUGAGUAACAAGAGGGCCCGCCCCUCUCCAAGCACAAGUGUAAGCCAAACCGGACCAACCAUUGGCAACUAACGAACUCAACCCAAGAGAGCAGUGUGAACUAUAAAAAGACCAAGAAAACCCCACAACUCAAUAAUCGUUAACCCCACACUGGAGUGCUAUUAAAGGAAAGACUAAAAGAAAAGGAAGGAACUCGGCAAACACAAGCCUCGCCUGUUUACCAAAAACAUCGCCUCCUGCAACGCAGCCAUGUAUAGGAGGUCCAGCCUGCCCAGUGACUACAAGUUCAACGGCCGCGGUAUUUUGACCGUGCAAAGGUAGCGCAAUCACUUGUCUUUUAAAUAGAGACCUGUAUGAAUGGCUAAACGAGGGCUUAACUGUCUCCCCUUUCAAGUCAGUGAAAUUGAUCUGCCCGUGCAGAAGCG